GGACUACUGGGGUAUCUAAUCCUGUUUGAUCCCCACGCUUUCGUGCCUCAGCGUCAAUACUCGUCCAGAUAGCCGCUUACGCCACUGGUGUUCCUGUCAAUAUCUACGCAUUUCACUGCUACACUGACAAUUCCGCUAUCCUCUCCGAGAUUCGAGCGAUAUAGUUUUAAAAGCAAUUCCAAGGUUGAGCCCUGGGCUUUCACUUCUAACUUUUACCGCCGCCUACGCACGCUUUACGCCCAGUGAUUCCGAACAACGCUCGCCCCCUUCGUAUUACCGCGGCUGCUGGCAC
Molecule: ribosomal RNA, 292 nt
Filed under: uncultured bacterium
Lineage: Bacteria
Description: partial 16S ribosomal RNA
Source: RNAcentral